GACGAACGCUGGCGGCGUGCUUAACACAUGCAAGUCGAACGGAAAGGCCCUGCUUGCAGGGUGCUCGAGUGGCGAACGGGUGAGUAACACGUGGGUGAUCUGCCCCUUACUUUGGGAUAAGCCUGGGAAACUGGGUCUAAUACUGGAUAGGACCAUGCUGUAGGUGGUGUGGUGGAAAGAUUAGUUUCGGUAAGGGAUGAGCACGCGGCCUAUCAGCUUGUUGGUGGGGUAAUGGCCUACCAAGGCGUCGACGGGUAGCCGGCCUGAGAGGGUGGACGGCCACAUUGGGACUGAGAUACGGCCCAGACUCCUACGGGAGGCAGCAGUGGGGAAUAUUGCACAAUGGGCGCAAGCCUGAUGCAGCGACGCCGCGUGGGGGAUGACGGCCUUCGGGUUGUAAACUCCUUUCAGCCAUGACGAAGCCCUUGUGGUGACGGUAGUGGUAGAAGAAGCACCGGCUAACUACGUG
RNAcentral lists this ribosomal RNA (469 nucleotides) under uncultured bacterium. RNAcentral describes it as "partial 16S ribosomal RNA". It matches the Rfam family "Bacterial small subunit ribosomal RNA", at positions 28 to 507 of the family's 1533-position model. The record is from RNAcentral.